RNAcentral lists this ribosomal RNA (253 nucleotides) under uncultured bacterium. RNAcentral describes it as "partial 16S ribosomal RNA". It matches the Rfam family "Bacterial small subunit ribosomal RNA", at positions 524 to 776 of the family's 1533-position model. The record is from RNAcentral.
UACGGGGGGGGCAAGCGUUGUUCGGAAUUACUGGGCGUAAAGGGCUUGUAGGUGGCCAACUAAGUCAGACGUGAAAUCCCUCGGCUUAACCGGGGAACUGCGUCUGAUACUGGAUGGCUUGAGUGUGGGAGAGGGAUGCGGAAUUCCAGGUGUAGCGGUGAAAUGCGUAGAGAUCCGGAGGAACACCAGAGGCGAAGGCGGCCUGCUGGGCUGCACCUGACGCUGAACCGCGAAAGCCAGGGGAGCGAACGGG